UUUCUCAUCAACUUACAGGCU
Molecule: non-coding RNA, 21 nt
Organism: Caenorhabditis elegans
Lineage: Eukaryota; Metazoa; Nematoda; Chromadorea; Rhabditida; Rhabditidae
Source: Ensembl